AGCGUACACGGUGGAUGCCCUGGCAGUCAGAGGCGAUGAAGGACGUGCUAAUCUGCGAUAAGCGUCGGUAAGGUGAUAUGAACCGUUAUAACCGGCGAUUUCCGAAUGGGGAAACCCAGUGUGAUUCGUCACACUAUCAUUAACUGAAUCCAUAGGUUAAUGAGGCGAACCGGGGGAACUGAAACAUCUAAGUACCCCGAGGAAAAGAAAUCAACCGAGAUUCCCCCAGUAGCGGCGAGCGAACGGGGAGGAGCCCAGAGCCUGAAUCAGUGUGUGUGUUAGUGGAAGCGUCUGGAAAGGCGCGCGAUACAGGGUGACAGCCCCGUACACAAAAAUGCACAUGCUGUGAGCUCGAUGAGUAGGGCGGGACACGUGGUAUCCUGUCUGAAUAUGGGGGGACCAUCCUCCAAGGCUAAAUACUCCUGACUGACCGAUAGUGAACCAGUACCGUGAGGGAAAGGCGAAAAGAACCCCGGCGAGGGGAGUGAAAAAGAACCUGAAACCGUGUACGUACAAGCAGUGGGAGCACGCUUAGGCGUGUGACUGCGUACCUUUUGUAUAAUGGGUCAGCGACUUAUAUUCUGUAGCAAGGUUAACCGAAUAGGGGAGCCGAAGGGAAACCGAGUCUUAACUGGGCGUUAAGUUGCAGGGUAUAGACCCGAAACCCGGUGAUCUAGCCAUGGGCAGGUUGAAGGUUGGGUAACACUAACUGGAGGACCGAACCGACUAAUGUUGAAAAAUUAGCGGAUGACUUGUGGCUGGGGGUGAAAGGCCAAUCAAACCGGGAGAUAGCUGGUUCUCCCCGAAAGCUAUUUAGGUAGCGCCUCGUGAAUUCAUCUCCGGGGGUAGAGCACUGUUUCGGCAAGGGGGUCAUCCCGACUUACCAACCCGAUGCAAACUGCGAAUACCGGAGAAUGUUAUCACGGGAGACACACGGCGGGUGCUAACGUCCGUCGUGAAGAGGGAAACAACCCAGACCGCCAGCUAAGGUCCCAAAGUCAUGGUUAAGUGGGAAACGAUGUGGGAAGGCCCAGACAGCCAGGAUGUUGGCUUAGAAGCAGCCAUCAUUUAAAGAAAGCGUAAUAGCUCACUGGUCGAGUCGGCCUGCGCGGAAGAUGUAACGGGGCUAAACCAUGCACCGAAGCUGCGGCAGCGACGCUUAUGCGUUGUUGGGUAGGGGAGCGUUCUGUAAGCCUGUGAAGGUGUGCUGUGAGGCAUGCUGGAGGUAUCAGAAGUGCGAAUGCUGACAUAAGUAACGAUAAAGCGGGUGAAAAGCCCGCUCGCCGGAAGACCAAGGGUUCCUGUCCAACGUUAAUCGGGGCAGGGUGAGUCGACCCCUAAGGCGAGGCCGAAAGGCGUAGUCGAUGGGAAACAGGUUAAUAUUCCUGUACUUGGUGUUACUGCGAAGGGGGGACGGAGAAGGCUAUGUUGGCCGGGCGACGGUUGUCCCGGUUUAAGCGUGUAGGCUGGUUUUCCAGGCAAAUCCGGAAAAUCAAGGCUGAGGCGUGAUGACGAGGCACUACGGUGCUGAAGCAACAAAUGCCCUGCUUCCAGGAAAAGCCUCUAAGCAUCAGGUAACAUCAAAUCGUACCCCAAACCGACACAGGUGGUCAGGUAGAGAAUACCAAGGCGCUUGAGAGAACUCGGGUGAAGGAACUAGGCAAAAUGGUGCCGUAACUUCGGGAGAAGGCACGCUGAUAUGUAGGUGAAGUCCCUCGCGGAUGGAGCUGAAAUCAGUCGAAGAUACCAGCUGGCUGCAACUGUUUAUUAAAAACACAGCACUGUGCAAACACGAAAGUGGACGUAUACGGUGUGACGCCUGCCCGGUGCCGGAAGGUUAAUUGAUGGGGUUAGCGCAAGCGAAGCUCUUGAUCGAAGCCCCGGUAAACGGCGGCCGUAACUAUAACGGUCCUAAGGUAGCGAAAUUCCUUGUCGGGUAAGUUCCGACCUGCACGAAUGGCGUAAUGAUGGCCAGGCUGUCUCCACCCGAGACUCAGUGAAAUUGAACUCGCUGUGAAGAUGCAGUGUACCCGCGGCAAGACGGAAAGACCCCGUGAACCUUUACUAUAGCUUGACACUGAACAUUGAGCCUUGAUGUGUAGGAUAGGUGGGAGGCUUUGAAGUGUGGACGCCAGUCUGCAUGGAGCCGACCUUGAAAUACCACCCUUUAAUGUUUGAUGUUCUAACGUUGACCCGUAAUCCGGGUUGCGGACAGUGUCUGGUGGGUAGUUUGACUGGGGCGGUCUCCUCCUAAAGAGUAACGGAGGAGCACGAAGGUUGGCUAAUCCUGGUCGGACAUCAGGAGGUUAGUGCAAUGGCAUAAGCCAGCUUGACUGCGAGCGUGACGGCGCGAGCAGGUGCGAAAGCAGGUCAUAGUGAUCCGGUGGUUCUGAAUGGAAGGGCCAUCGCUCAACGGAUAAAAGGUACUCCGGGGAUAACAGGCUGAUACCGCCCAAGAGUUCAUAUCGACGGCGGUGUUUGGCACCUCGAUGUCGGCUCAUCACAUCCUGGGGCUGAAGUAGGUCCCAAGGGUAUGGCUGUUCGCCAUUUAAAGUGGUACGCGAGCUGGGUUUAGAACGUCGUGAGACAGUUCGGUCCCUAUCUGCCGUGGGCGCUGGAGAACUGAGGGGGGCUGCUCCUAGUACGAGAGGACCGGAGUGGACGCAUCACUGGUGUUCGGGUUGUCAUGCCAAUGGCACUGCCCGGUAGCUAAAUGCGGAAGAGAUAAGUGCUGAAAGCAUCUAAGCACGAAACUUGCCCCGAGAUGAGUUCUCCCUGACUCCUUGA
This 2787-nucleotide ribosomal RNA is filed under the name Escherichia coli. RNAcentral's name for it is "bacterial LSU rRNA". It matches the Rfam family "Bacterial large subunit ribosomal RNA". Lineage: Bacteria; Pseudomonadati; Pseudomonadota; Gammaproteobacteria; Enterobacterales; Enterobacteriaceae. The record is from RNAcentral.